This 95-nucleotide small RNA is filed under the name Marmota monax (woodchuck). Lineage: Eukaryota; Metazoa; Chordata; Mammalia; Rodentia; Sciuridae. The record is from RNAcentral.
GCUGGGUGCAGUGGUGCACAUCUGUAAUCCCAGGGGCUUGGGAGGCUGAGGCAGGAAGGUUGCAAAUUCAAAGACUUAGCAAGACCCUGUCUCCA